GAUGAACGCUAGCUACAGGCUUAACACAUGCAAGUCAAGGGGCAGCAUGAUUGAAGCUUGCUUCAAUCGAUGGCGACCGGCGCACGGGUGAGUAACACGUAUCCAACCUGCCGAUAACUCGGGGAUAGCCUUUCGAAAGAAAGAUUAAUACCCGAUAGUAUAGUAUUUCCGCAUGGUUUCACUAUUAAAGAACUUCGGUUAUCGAUGGGGAUGCGUUCCAUUAGAUAGUUGGCGGGGUAACGGCCCACCAAGUCAACGAUGGAUAGGGGUUCUGAGAGGAAGGUCCCCCACAUUGGAACUGAGACACGGUCCAAACUCCUACGGGAGGCAGCAGUGAGGAAUAUUGGUCAAUGGACGAGAGUCUGAACCAGCCAAGUAGCGUGAAGGAUGACUGCCCUAUGGGUUGUAAACUUCUUUUAUACGGGAAUAAAGUGGAGUAUGCAUACUCCUUUGUAUGUACCGUAUGAAUAAGGAUCGGCUAACUCCGUG
RNAcentral lists this ribosomal RNA (489 nucleotides) under uncultured bacterium. Its description in RNAcentral is "partial 16S ribosomal RNA". It matches the Rfam family "Bacterial small subunit ribosomal RNA", at positions 28 to 507 of the family's 1533-position model. The record is from RNAcentral.